This 67-nucleotide transfer RNA is filed under the name Trichechus manatus (West Indian manatee). RNAcentral's name for it is "transfer RNA-Pro". The record is from RNAcentral. RNAcentral also lists the same sequence under 3 other names. Lineage: Eukaryota; Metazoa; Chordata; Mammalia; Sirenia; Trichechidae.
UACAGGGAGUAGUUUAAGUAGAAUUUCAGCUUUGGGUGUUGAUGGUGAGGUAGGUAGCCUCUUCCCU